RNAcentral lists this long non-coding RNA (287 nucleotides) under Mytilus galloprovincialis (Mediterranean mussel). The record is from RNAcentral. Lineage: Eukaryota; Metazoa; Mollusca; Bivalvia; Mytilida; Mytilidae.
UAUUAAUGAAGUGAUUAAUGAUGACCUUCAUAUUACAAUUAAUAGUCAGCUUUUUUUGGAAACUCUAUUAAUGGAGGUGAGGGGCAAAACUAUCUCAUACUCUAGCUUCAAAAAGAAGACAAGAGAGAAAAGGGGAAAAACAUUCAAAGAUGACAUUAAUAUUUUAGAAGAAAAUGGAAAUUCAGGUUCUAUACAGCAAUUGGAAGACAAAAAAACUAGAGGGUCCAAGGACCCUGUGUCGCUCACCUGAUAUUUUUAUUUACAUUUGAUGCAAAAUAAAUGCAACU